CGCCUAUUCUCAAAAUUUCAGCAAGAGCAUAGGAAUUAUGGAACUGUGCUUGAAAAGCUGCAAGAACUAUGCUCAGCCUUUUCAUCAGCAUCCAGUGUAUCCCCGAGUGUUUGCUGCCGCCACCACGAGAGCUUGGAGGUUCAUAAACCCAAGACCACACAGCAAUAAAGAGAAACACUUAAAUCCAAG
RNAcentral lists this long non-coding RNA (189 nucleotides) under Fukomys damarensis (Damara mole-rat). Its description in RNAcentral is "lncRNA (ENSFDAG00000030547.1)". Lineage: Eukaryota; Metazoa; Chordata; Mammalia; Rodentia; Bathyergidae. The record is from RNAcentral.